RNAcentral lists this unclassified non-coding RNA (156 nucleotides) under uncultured Chaetothyriales. RNAcentral describes it as "sequence contains ITS2". Lineage: Eukaryota; Fungi; Ascomycota; Eurotiomycetes; Chaetothyriales. The record is from RNAcentral.
UCACAUUAUCAAGCUUGGCUUGUAGUUGGGCCCCUUGUCACUGGGUGACAGGUCCAAAAGACAAUGGCCAGUGUCAUACAGACGCUAUAUGCAACGAGCUGACCACAGCACGCAUCUGGUAGUUGUAUGGCCUGGUUCUUGCCCUUUAUUUCUCAA